UACGGGGGGGGCAAGCGUUGUUCGGAAUUACUGGGCGUAAAGGGCUCGUAGGUGGCCAACUAAGUCAGACGUGAAAUCCCUCGGCUUAACCGGGGAACUGCCUUUGAUACUGAAGAUCUUGAGUUCGGGAGAGGUGAGUGGAACUGCGAGUGUAGAGGUGAAAUGCUUAGAUAUGACAUAGAACACCAAUUGCGAAGGCAGCUGGCUACACGAAUAUUGACACUGAGGCACGAAAGCGUGGGGAUCAAACAGG
This 253-nucleotide ribosomal RNA is filed under the name uncultured bacterium. RNAcentral's name for it is "partial 16S ribosomal RNA". It matches the Rfam family "Bacterial small subunit ribosomal RNA", at positions 524 to 776 of the family's 1533-position model. The record is from RNAcentral.